Molecule: ribosomal RNA, 865 nt
Filed under: Vataireopsis speciosa
Lineage: Eukaryota; Viridiplantae; Streptophyta; Magnoliopsida; Fabales; Fabaceae
Description: eukaryotic LSU rRNA
Rfam family: 5.8S ribosomal RNA (bases 386-541)
Source: RNAcentral
UGGUCCGGUGAAGUGUUCGGAUCGCGGCGACGUGGGCGGUUCGCUGCCCGCGACGUUGUGAGAAGUCCACUGAACCUUAUCAUUUAGAGGAAGGAGAAGUCGUAACAAGGUUUCCGUAGGUGAACCUGCGGAAGGAUCAUUGUCGAUGCCUACCGAGCAGCGCGACUCGCGAACUCGUUUAACCGCUUCGGGGGUGGCUCGGGGUGCCCGGAGGGCGCCCCCGCCUCCCCGAGCGAGGAGGCGACGGCCCUGUGCGGUUUCCUCCUCGCCCCAAACAACAAACCCCGGCGCGAGACGCGCCAAGGAAAUCGAAAUCGUUCUGUGCGCCCCUGUCGGCCCGGAGACGGUGCCCGUGCAGGCGGCGUCGCGACACGCGAAUCUGAAUGACUCUCGGCAACGGAUAUCUCGGCUCUUGCAUCGAUGAAGAACGUAGCGAAAUGCGAUACUUGGUGUGAAUUGCAGAAUCCCGUGAACCAUCGAGUCUUUGAACGCAAGUUGCGCCCGAAGCCAUUAGGCUGAGGGCACGCCUGCCUGGGUGUCACGCAUCGUUGCCCCUAAUCCGGUGCCUUAGGCAAGGCCCCGUGUUCUGGGGCGAACGUUGGCUUCCCGCGAGCGCGGCCUCGCGGUUGGUUGAAAUAUGAGUCCGCGGCGGAGAGCGCCACGAUAGACGGUGGCUGAGUGAAGCUCGAGACCGAUCGUGCGCGUCUCUACGUCGGGCGCGGACCCUCUGACCCGUGGGCGCGUCUCUGACCGCCCGUGACGAGACCUCAGGUCAGGCGGGGCUACCCGCUGAGUUUAAGCAUAUCAAUAAGCGGAGGAAAAGAAACUAACAAGGAUUCCCCUAGUAACGGCGAGCGAACCGGGG